This 409-nucleotide ribosomal RNA is filed under the name uncultured soil bacterium. Its description in RNAcentral is "bacterial SSU rRNA". It matches the Rfam family "Bacterial small subunit ribosomal RNA", at positions 258 to 688 of the family's 1533-position model. The record is from RNAcentral.
UAAUGGCCUACCAAGGCAUCAGUAGCCGGCCUCAGAGGGCAACCCGCCACACUGGCACUGAGUACACGGGCCAGAAUCCUACGGGAGGCAGCAGUGGGGAAUCUUGCACAAUGGGGGCAACCCUCAUGCAGCGACGCCGCGUGAGCGAUGAAGCCUUUCUGGGUGUAAAGCUCUUUCGACAGGAACGAUAAUUACGGUACCUGGAGAAGAAGCUGCGGCUAACUACGUGCCAGCAGCCGCGGUAAUAAGUAGUCAGCAAGCGUUGUUCGGAGUUACUGGGCGUAAAGAGUGCGUAGGCGGUCUUUAAGUCAGGGGUGAAAUGCCAAGGCUCAACCUUGGAACUGCCUUUGAUACUGGGGAUCUUGAGUCCGGGAGAGGUGAGUGGAACUGCGAGUGUAGAGGUGAAAUU